Molecule: non-coding RNA, 1250 nt
Organism: Nestor notabilis (Kea)
Lineage: Eukaryota; Metazoa; Chordata; Aves; Psittaciformes; Psittacidae
Source: Rfam
GGCAGCAAGCUGGAUCCGUAACUUCAGGAUAAUGAUUGGCUCUAAAGGCUGGGUUGGUUGGGUUGGGGCACGAAGUGGGGCUGGGCCCACACAUGGCGAUGACUCUGGACACACACUGGGCCCUUCCCGUGGAUCACCCCAGUCCUUUUGGUCCGCACCCAGCGGCGGGGGCCAGGGGUUCCUCUGGUGCAUGUGCAGUCAUGGCCAGCAUCAGUGAAUGGUUCCACGCAUGGGGGAGGGUCCCUGGGGGGGUCCGUGGGCCAGCAAACAGCUUAGAACUGUUACGGGCCAGGGGAAUCCGACUGUUUAAUUGAGGCAAAGCAUUGCAAAGGCCCAUGGUGUGUGUUGACACGAUGUGGUUUCUGCCCAGCGCUCUGAAUGUCAAAUUGAAGAAGUUCAAUGAAGCGCAGGUAAAUGGUGGGAGUAACUAUGACUCUCUUAAGGCAGCCAAAUGCCUCGUCAUCUCAUUAGUGACACGCAUAACUGAAUGAAUGAGAUUUGCACUGUCCCUGUCCAGGGAAACCACAGCCAAGGGAACAGACUUGGCAGAAUCAGCGGGGAAAGAAGACCCUGUUGAGCUUGGCUCUAGUCUGGUGCUGCAAAGAGACACAAGAGGUGUAGAUUAAGUGGGACAAUCGGCCCGCCAGCAUCCCAGCUGUUGGUGAAAUGCCACCUCUCUGAUCAUUUGUCACUUACCUGUUGGGCAGGGGGGCAAGCCCCAAAGGGGGCCCUUGCUUCUGGGACAGUGGCAGGUGGGGAGUAUGACUAUGACGAUACACAUGUCAAAGCGUAACGCAGGUGUCCUAAGGUGAGCUCAGGAAGAUGGAAACCUCCCAUGGAGCAGAAGGGCAAAAGCUUGCUUGAUCUUGAUUUUCAAUACGAACACAGAAUGUGAAAGAGGGGUCUCAUGAUCCUUCUGGUUUUUUGGGUUUUAAGCAGGAGGCAUCAGAAAAGUUACCACAGGCAUAACUGGCUUGUGGCGGCCAAGCGUUCAUAGCAAGGUCACUUUUUGAUCCUUUGAUGUCAGCUCUUCUUGUCAUUGUGAAGCAGAAUCACCAAGCACUGGAUUGUUCAUCAACUAAUCGUGAACGUGAGCUGGGUUUAGACUGUCAUGAGACAGGUUAGUUUUAUCCUUAAUAACGAUAAGUUGUUGAAAUAGCAAUCCUGCUUAUUACGAGAGGAGCCACAGGUUCGGACCCUGGUGCAUGCGCUUGGCUGAGGAGCCACUGGUGCGAGGCUACCACCUGCGA